CCUACGGGGGGCUGCAGUGGGGAAUAUUGCACAAUGGGGGAAACCCUGAUGCAGCAACGCCGCGUGAGUGAAGAAGUAUUUCGGUAUGUAAAGCUCUAUCAGCAGGGAAGAGAAUGACGGUACCUGACUAAGAAGCCCCGGCUAACUACGUGCCAGCAGCCGCGGUAAUACGUAGGGGGCGAGCGUUAUCCGGAUUUACUGGGUGUAAAGGGAGCGUAGACGGGUCUGCAAGUCUGAAGUGAAAGCCCGUGGCUUAACCGCGGGACGGCUUUGGAAACUGUGGAACUGGGGUGCAGGAGAGGCAAGCGGAAUGCCUGGUGUAGCGGUGAAAUGCGUAGAUAUUAGGAGGAACACCAGUGGCGAAGGCGGCUUGCUGGACAGUAACUGACGCUGAGGCACGAAGGCCAGGGGAGCGAAAAGGAUUAGAUACCCCAGUAGUC
Molecule: ribosomal RNA, 440 nt
Filed under: uncultured bacterium
Lineage: Bacteria
Description: partial 16S ribosomal RNA
Rfam family: Bacterial small subunit ribosomal RNA
Source: RNAcentral